RNAcentral lists this long non-coding RNA (674 nucleotides) under Setaria italica (foxtail millet). RNAcentral describes it as "long non-coding RNA (SITA_LNC001407)". The record is from RNAcentral. Lineage: Eukaryota; Viridiplantae; Streptophyta; Magnoliopsida; Poales; Poaceae.
GUAGGACUACGGUGAGGGGGCCAUCACGAGCUCGCCGGCGCCUGCGGCUGAGGUUGCGGCUGGGCGGCCUGCGGGCGGUUGAGGGGUGACGAGAACAGCGCGGCGAACGACGAGGGCCUCUGCUCCGGCGGGGCCGCCGCAAUGCCGCCGCCAGCGGCGGAGGGGGACGAGGAGGAGGCCGGCGCCGGCGCCGCGGCGGCGGGGGCGGAGGAGUUGGAGGCGACGCGCUCGCAGGAGGGGCACAUGGACAGGGUGGUGGCCGGGAGGUGCAUGUAGAAGGGGUGCACCGUCUUGAGCGCGCGCAGCUCCGCCAGCUCCUUCUGCAGCCGCCGGUUCUCCUCGGUCAGCGUCUCGCAGCAGCGCUUCAGGUACUCGCAGUCCACCUCCGUCUGCUUCAGCUUCGUCCUGCACCGAGUUUUUCUUAUAAGAUUAUUUUGCCAUGCGGAUGCCAAUUAAAUUAAAGUAGUACUCCGUAGAUGGCAUGUCUAGGCGCGGCGUGUUCGCGCGCGCACCUGGCUCUGCGGUUCUGGAACCACACCUCCACCUGGCGCGGCCGGAGGUUGAGCUGCUUCGCCAGCGCCAGCUUCUGCUUCUGCGCGCCACAAACGUCAAGAUGGACCAUCAGGCAUGUUUUUGCGCGAUCAGAGUUGGGUUACGACGGCGGUCGGAUGUGC